AGGAAUUUGUUCGUAUUGAAUUGAUUCCCAACCUGAUGCUUCUUCCUGAUGGAUUGUUGCAAAACCAUACGCUCCUUGAGCACUUAGAAAUUAAAAAUCUUAGAGACCUUCAGUCCUUGUCAAAUCAAAUAUUAGAUAACCUUUCUGCUCUAAAAUCCUUAAGAAUUCAGCAUUGUAGUGAACUUAAAAGCUUGCCUGAAGAGGUCUCCGGAACCUGUCAAAUCAAAUACGGUACUGUUUUCCCAGAACAUAUGAAGAUGGUGUGCCAAGCAGUUCUUCUCAGCUGUGGUGGCCACUUGAAACACUUCCGAGAUUAUGAGUGAAUUAUGGUUGUAUAAAUCCUCAACGUUUCCAAAACUUGUAGGCACCUCAGCAUAGGACGAUGGAUGAUUAUAGAACAGCUGGAUAUGAUCCCCAGUCAAGCAGUUUGGAGACCAGAUUGAUCCAAAGCCAGCAUGACAUUCGCCACCCACUAGUUGAAUAAAAAGCUGAAAAACACCCCUAAAAUGGUUUUGUUUUCCAUGAUUUUGUUCAUGGUUUUGGUCAAUUUAAAUUAUGUGAUUUAUGUACUGGAAAUGUGAAGAUUG
This is a long non-coding RNA of Populus trichocarpa (black cottonwood), 587 nucleotides long. RefSeq lists it as uncharacterized. The transcript has 2 exons. NCBI's taxonomy places the organism in Eukaryota, Viridiplantae, Streptophyta, Magnoliopsida, Malpighiales, Salicaceae. The record is from RefSeq and is a predicted model, not a curated record.